RNAcentral lists this ribosomal RNA (415 nucleotides) under uncultured bacterium. RNAcentral's name for it is "bacterial SSU rRNA". It matches the Rfam family "Bacterial small subunit ribosomal RNA", at positions 361 to 773 of the family's 1533-position model. The record is from RNAcentral.
AUCUUCUGCAAUGGGCGCAAGCCUGACAGAGCGACGCCGCGUGGAGGAUGAAGGCCCUCGGGUUGUAAACUCCUGUCACACGUUAUGAAAUGUACGGGUCCACCCGUGCACUGACAAAGGCGUGGGAGGAAGUCACGGCUAACUUCGUGCCAGCAGCCGCGGUAAGACGAAGGUGGCUAGCGUUAUUCGGAUUCACUGGGCAUAAAGCGCGCGUAGGCGGCUCUUCAAGUCGGAGGUGAAAGCCCGCAGCUCAACUGCGGAACAGCCCUCGAUACUGUCGAGCUUGAGUGCAGGAGGGGUGAUCGGAACUCCAGGUGUAGCGGUGAAAUGCGUAGAUAUCUGGAGGAACACCGGAGGCGAAGGCGGAUCACUGGACUGCCACUGACGCUGAGGCGCGAAAGCUAGGGGAGCAAAC